CUCACUUGCUGUGUUGUGUGCCCAAAUGUUCGUCCUCAAAGAGAAAAAAAAUCCUACCGUGGACAGACUUUCCACCGUUUCCCCAAAGAGCAGGCACUUCGCAGUGGAUGUAUAAAUCACAUCUAGAGGGGUCCUGGUCCAUAUUUCAAGAUCAACGCUGAGACCAAGGUUUGCUCUGAGCACUUUGAGAAGCAGUGUUUUGUAAAGACCACCCGUGUUAUCACAAAGCUUAUAAAGGAUGCUGUGCCAACUUUCGCCUGGACUUCAGAGAGGCCAAAGAGGAGAAUCAUCAUUCGCAGACCGAGAGAUGAUGACCCAUUCCUGAAGUUGGACGCCAGAAUGCAGGAAGGUGCUGUUUAAGAGCCUAGGCGGUGGAAGAAGCACUUGCAGGUAUGCUACCGACCAGGCUCCUCAACAUCAAUCCGAGACGGAAGAUGAAACGGGAUGAAGCAGUUAGAUUGAGGAUAACGUACCUCAACAGUCUUCUUCAGAUUCUCUACAAACACAGUCUGAGUGGUGAUUAGAACAUGCCUGGCAUCCAAGGGUGUGGCCAGUUUGUUAACCCUUUACACUCUACACUUUACAAUUAGAAUUAUUGUACACUGUCUGGACAAGAUGUAGAAUACUACUGAGCGACAGUGAUAUGUCAUGUUCUUAAUACUGUUAUAUCCUGUCAUUACAGACAAGGCGGCCGGAAACGUUGAUGACCUCAAUGACACUGGCUAGGUGAAGGACAUCAACAAAAUGGCAUCAGGUCACCAGACAUCAGCUCAUAAUCCACAACAUCAUCAACCAUUUUGCGCCAAAAAUGAAGCCGUUCACAUACCAUGGCAUCCUAAGCAGGCAGCACUACACUACUGUGCAACAGUGAGAGAGAGCGGGCAAGGACAAGUAAAGCGGACCUACACUACAGCAAGACUUUGACACUUCUCCACGUUAGAGGCAACCAUCACCCCCACCGUUGAGCAGCGGCUAUGUGUAACCCCCAAAAGAGGAGAUGAUCCGACGAUGUGUGUGUGGUGUGUGCGUGUGUGUGUGUGAUGUAUGAUAUUGUAACACUUCAGUCCUUCUUUUAUACUAUACAGUGUAUACAUAUACAUUUGUGGGUUUGUUUAAAAACCAUAGCUGAGGUUAAGAAAUGCAUUAUGACAAAUACAUCUGAUUCAGGUGUACUGUCUUUUAUUUGCCACAAAUAAAUCACAUCCUGGAAACCUG
Molecule: long non-coding RNA, 1215 nt
Organism: Engraulis encrasicolus (European anchovy)
Lineage: Eukaryota; Metazoa; Chordata; Actinopteri; Clupeiformes; Engraulidae
Exons: 6
Source: RefSeq, a predicted model, not a curated record